GACGAACGCUGGCGGCGUGCUUAACACAUGCAAGUCGAACGAAGAGCGAUGGAAGCUUGCUUCUAUCAAUCUUAGUGGCGAACGGGUGAGUAACGCGUAAUCAACCUGCCCUUCAGAGGGGGACAACAGUUGGAAACGACUGCUAAUACCGCAUACGAUCUAAUCUCGGCAUCGAGGAAAGAUGAAAGGUGGCCUCUAUUUAUAAGCUAUCACUGAAGGAGGGGAUUGCGUCUGAUUAGCUAGUUGGAGGGGUAACGGCCCACCAAGGCGAUGAUCAGUAGCCGGUCUGAGAGGAUGAACGGCCACAUUGGGACUGAGACACGGCCCAGACUCCUACGGGAGGCAGCAGUGGGGAAUCUUCCGCAAUGGACGAAAGUCUGACGGAGCAACGCCGCGUGAGUGAUGACGGCCUUCGGGUUGUAAAGCUCUGUUAAUCGGGACGAAAGGCCUU
Molecule: ribosomal RNA, 451 nt
Filed under: Veillonella dispar
Lineage: Bacteria; Bacillati; Bacillota; Negativicutes; Veillonellales; Veillonellaceae
Description: bacterial SSU rRNA
Rfam family: Bacterial small subunit ribosomal RNA
Source: RNAcentral